This 434-nucleotide ribosomal RNA is filed under the name uncultured bacterium. Its description in RNAcentral is "bacterial SSU rRNA". It matches the Rfam family "Bacterial small subunit ribosomal RNA", at positions 355 to 786 of the family's 1533-position model. The record is from RNAcentral.
UGAGGAAUAUUGGUCAAUGGGCGGGAGCCUGAACCAGCCAAGCCGCGUGACGGAAGAAGGCGCUAAGCGUCGUAAACGUCUUUUGCCGGGGAACAAAGGCGCGGACGCGUCCGCGUGUGAGUGUACCCGGAGAAAAAGCAUCGGCUAACUCCGUGCCAGCAGCCGCGGUAAUACGGAGGAUGCGAGCGUUAUCCGGAUUUAUUGGGUUUAAAGGGUGCGUAGGCGGCCCGUUAAGUCAGCGGUAAAAGGCCCGGGGCUCAACCCCGGCGAGCCGCUGAAACUGGGGGGCUAGAGACGGCGAGAAGUACGCGGAAUGCGCGGUGUAGCGGUGAAAUGCAUAGAUAUCGCGCAGAACUCCGAUUGCGAAGGCAGCGUACCGGCGCCGGACUGACGCUGAGGCACGAAAGCGUGGGUAUCGAACAGGAUUAGAUACC